GAUGAACGCUAGCGAUAGGCUUAACACAUGCCAGUCGAGGGGCAGCACAAGGUAGCUUGCUAUCUGGGUGGCGACCGGCGCACGGGUGCGUAACGCGUAUGCAACUUGCCCUAUACAGGAGGAUAACCCGUCGAAAGACGGACUAAUACUGCGUAUGCUCACAACUUGGCAUCAAGUGGUGAGGAAAGAAAUUCGGUAUAGGAUAGGCAUGCGUCCCAUUAGCUUGUUGGUGAGGUAACGGCUCACCAAGGCAACGAUGGGUAGGGGAACUGAGAGGUUUAUCCCCCACACUGGUACUGAGACACGGACCAGACUCCUACGGGAGGCAGCAGUGAGGAAUAUUGGUCAAUGGGCGCGAGCCUGAACCAGCCAAGUCGCGUGAAGGAGGACUGUCUUAUGGAUUGUAAACUUCUUUUAUACGGGAAUAACAAGAGUCACGUGUGACUCCCUGCAUGUACUGUAUGAAUAAGCAUCGGCUAACUCCGUG
RNAcentral lists this ribosomal RNA (487 nucleotides) under uncultured bacterium. Its description in RNAcentral is "partial 16S ribosomal RNA". It matches the Rfam family "Bacterial small subunit ribosomal RNA", at positions 28 to 507 of the family's 1533-position model. The record is from RNAcentral.